Patella vulgata (common limpet) is the source of this 328-nucleotide long non-coding RNA. RefSeq lists it as uncharacterized. Lineage: Eukaryota; Metazoa; Mollusca; Gastropoda; Patellidae. The record is from RefSeq and is a predicted model, not a curated record. The transcript is spliced from 3 exons.
UAUUGAUGAUACGCAGAUCUUAAACAGUAGUUGGUGAUCAUGGAAGUUUUACCGUUAGUUCUUGUACUCUAUUUCAUCGGACUUGUAUCCAGUGCAAGUAUACCAAGCCAUGAUACGAGAUCAUUGCGGCCAGGACCAAGCAGAUCCAAUCAGUGUUCCUUUAAAGGGGAGCUGUACGAUAUCGACGAGCUUUUUAAACUUGAUUGUGAUGCUUGUGGAAAUUGCGCAAAUUGUCAAUGUUGGAGAAAUGAUCAGAAUAAUCCAAUUGUAACGUGUUUCUCAAACUUUGUGGGCUGUAUCACAUUAGAAUAAAAGUGUUACAUUGAAA